Molecule: transfer RNA, 71 nt
Filed under: Camelus bactrianus (Bactrian camel)
Lineage: Eukaryota; Metazoa; Chordata; Mammalia; Artiodactyla; Camelidae
Also listed under: 2 other names
Rfam family: tRNA
About the family: Transfer RNA (tRNA) molecules are approximately 80 nucleotides in length.
Source: Rfam by way of RNAcentral
GGGUAUAGCUCAAGUGGUAGAGCGCAUACUUAGCAUGCAUGAGGUCCUGGGUUCAACUCCCAGUAAAUCCU